Molecule: ribosomal RNA, 412 nt
Filed under: uncultured prokaryote
Description: bacterial SSU rRNA
Rfam family: Bacterial small subunit ribosomal RNA
Source: RNAcentral
GUGUCAGCCGCCGCGGUAAGACGUAGGGGGCAAGCGUUGCUCGGAAUCACUGGGCUUAAAGGGCGCGUAGGCGGUUGUGUAAGUCCAGGGUUGAAGGCCCCGGCUCAACUGGGGAAAGGCCUUGGAGACUGCAUGACUUGAGUGAGCGAGGGGAGGGCGGAAUUCCUGGUGUAGCGGUGAAAUGCGUAGAUAUCAGGAGGAAGGCCUGUGGCGAAGGCGGCCCUCUGGCGCUCAACUGACGCUGAGGCGCGAAAGCGUGGGUAGCAAACAGGAUUAGAUACCCUGGUAGUCCACGCCCUAAACGAUGUGCGCUGGAUGUCGGGAGCUCGGCUCCCGGUGUCGUAGCCAACGCGUUAAGCGCACCGCCUGGGAAGUACGGCCGCAAGGUUGAAACUCAAAGGAAUUGACGGGG